GGGAGCUGUAUAAGCUGAGAGGUUUCCGUACAGUUCUGCGAGAGACUGGUGGGGAAGUUCUGCUGAUCUACUCUCC
RNAcentral lists this non-coding RNA (76 nucleotides) under Wolbachia endosymbiont of Armadillidium vulgare. The record is from RNAcentral. Lineage: Bacteria; Pseudomonadati; Pseudomonadota; Alphaproteobacteria; Rickettsiales; Anaplasmataceae.